RNAcentral lists this small RNA (374 nucleotides) under Arabidopsis thaliana (thale cress). RNAcentral's name for it is "ATSL077610". The record is from RNAcentral. Lineage: Eukaryota; Viridiplantae; Streptophyta; Magnoliopsida; Brassicales; Brassicaceae.
ACAAUUUUGGAGUUUAUGGCAUAUUUUUCUUUCUUACCUCCGCUUUAUUAUUUUGUCUUGUUCAUAUUUUAGCGAGUCUAAGAUUUUGAAUGGAUGCAGCGGACAAAACGGUUUAAUUUGUCUGCUAUUCAGUCUACUUCAUUUUUGGGCGGACAAUAAAUCGAUGCGGAUCAAAUUUAUUUAUAUGUAAAAACGGUCCGUAGAUGGUCCGUUGCGGUUUUCUUCUAUUAUUUUUUAUCCAGACCACUGCGUACUAUAAUUAAUGAAUGGUAAAUAAAAAAAGGUUUGAUCCAUUGACGAUUUUGUCCGCCUUAACCAUCAUAACCAUCCAAACCCUAAUUCUAAAAUUUCAACGUGGCAGAAAAGAAGGUAAU